GGGUUUCCAAGGUACCAUAAUAACUUUAACCUUCGAUUUUUGUGAUCCUACAUUAUUGUCCGUGCUAAACUUUUCGAAAUAUUUUUCUCCUUUAUUCUGGACCAGGUCUUAUCUCAUGGUUAUUCCUUCCAGCAGUUGCUGCUAGGAUGUAUUUCAAUGUUCCGUUAAUAUUAUACUAGAUUCUACAUAUUCCGGUGAAAUGAUCUAACACAACAUUAGUUUGCAUGUCUAACUAAU
RNAcentral lists this long non-coding RNA (237 nucleotides) under Panax ginseng (ginseng). RNAcentral's name for it is "long non-coding RNA (PGIN_LNC017164)". The record is from RNAcentral. Lineage: Eukaryota; Viridiplantae; Streptophyta; Magnoliopsida; Apiales; Araliaceae.